This 119-nucleotide ribosomal RNA is filed under the name Gadus morhua (Atlantic cod). Lineage: Eukaryota; Metazoa; Chordata; Actinopteri; Gadiformes; Gadidae. The record is from RNAcentral.
GCUUACGGCCAUACCACCUUAGGCACGCCCGAUCUCGUCUGAUCUCGGAAGCUAAGCAGGGUCGGGCCUGGUUAGUACUUGGAUGGGUGACCCCCUGGGAAUACCAGGUGCUGUAAGCA